Molecule: ribosomal RNA, 253 nt
Filed under: uncultured bacterium
Lineage: Bacteria
Description: partial 16S ribosomal RNA
Rfam family: Bacterial small subunit ribosomal RNA
Source: RNAcentral
UACAGAGGGGGCAAGCGUUGUUCGGAAUUACUGGGCGUAAAGGGCGCGUAGGUGGCCUUCUAAGUUGAACGUGAAAUCCCUGGGCUCAACCCAGGAACUGCGUCCAAGACUGGGAGGCUUGAAUCCGGGAGAGGGAUGCGGAAUUCCAGGUGUAGCGGUGAAAUGCGUAGAUAUCGGGAGGAACAUCAGUGGCGAAGGCGGCUACCUGGCCCAAUACUGACACUCAGGUGCGACAGCGUGGGGAGCAAACAGG